This 21-nucleotide microRNA is filed under the name Medicago truncatula (barrel medic). Its description in RNAcentral is "mtr-miR5262". The record is from miRBase by way of RNAcentral. Lineage: Eukaryota; Viridiplantae; Streptophyta; Magnoliopsida; Fabales; Fabaceae.
UCUGUCAGUAGACUCAAUUUC